RNAcentral lists this transfer RNA (76 nucleotides) under Bacteroidetes bacterium GWA2_40_14. RNAcentral's name for it is "tRNA-Pro". It matches the Rfam family "tRNA". Rfam says of the family: Transfer RNA (tRNA) molecules are approximately 80 nucleotides in length. RNAcentral also lists the same sequence under 6 other names. The record is from RNAcentral. Lineage: Bacteria; Pseudomonadati; Bacteroidota.
CGGGGUAUAGCGCAGUUGGUAGCGUGCCACGUUCGGGACGUGGAGGUCGGGCGUUCGAAUCGCCCUACCCCGACAA